RNAcentral lists this ribosomal RNA (625 nucleotides) under Antiporus gilbertii. Its description in RNAcentral is "SSU rRNA". It matches the Rfam family "Eukaryotic small subunit ribosomal RNA", at positions 6 to 601 of the family's 1831-position model. Lineage: Eukaryota; Metazoa; Arthropoda; Insecta; Coleoptera; Dytiscidae. The record is from RNAcentral.
GGUUGAUCCUGCCAGUAGUCAUAUGCUUGUCUCAAAGAUUAAGCCAUGCAUGUCUCAGUACAAGCCUAAUUAAGGUGAAACCGCGAAAGGCUCAUUAAAUCAGUUAUGGUUCCUUAGAUCGUACCCACACUUACUUGGAUAACUGUGGUAAUUCUAGAGCUAAUACAUGCAAACAGAGCUCCGACCGGAGACGGGAGGAGUGCUUUUAUUAGAUCAAAACCAAUCGGCGGCGGGCGCGUCCGCGCGUCCGUUCGCCGCUCUACUUGGUGACUCUGAAUAACUUUACGCUGAUCGCACGGUCUCGCACCGGCGACGCAUCUUUCAAAUGUCUGCCUUAUCAACUGUCGAUGGUAGGUUCUGCGCCUACCAUGGUCGUAACGGGUAACGGGGAAUCAGGGUUCGAUUCCGGAGAGGGAGCCUGAGAAACGGCUACCACAUCCAAGGAAGGCAGCAGGCGCGCAAAUUACCCACUCCCGGCACGGGGAGGUAGUGACGAAAAAUAACGAUACGGGACUCAUCCGAGGCCCCGUAAUCGGAAUGAGUACACUUUAAAUCCUUUAACGAGGACCAAUUGGAGGGCAAGUCUGGUGCCAGCAGCCGCGGUAAUUCCAGCUCCAAUAGCGUA